AUUGAACGCUGGCGGCAUGCCUUACACAUGCAAGUCGAACGGCAGCACGGGUGCUUGCACCUGGUGGCGAGUGGCGAACGGGUGAGUAAUACAUCGGAACAUGUCCUGUAGUGGGGGAUAGCCCGGCGAAAGCCGGAUUAAUACCGCAUACGAUCUACGGAUGAAAGCGGGGGACCUUCGGGCCUCGCGCUAUAGGGUUGGCCGAUGGCUGAUUAGCUAGUUGGUGGGGUAAAGGCCUACCAAGGCGACGAUCAGUAGCUGGUCUGAGAGGACGACCAGCAACACUGGGACUGAGACACGGCCCAGACUCCUACGGGAGGCAGCAGUGGGGAAUUUUGGACAAUGGGCGAAAGCCUGAUCCAGCAAUGCCGCGUGUGUGAAGAAGGCCUUCGGGUUGUAAAGCCCUUUUGUCCGGAAAGAAAUCCUUGGCCCUAAUACGGUCGGGGAUGACGGUACCGGAAGAAUAAGCACCGGCUAACUACGUG
This 485-nucleotide ribosomal RNA is filed under the name uncultured bacterium. RNAcentral's name for it is "partial 16S ribosomal RNA". It matches the Rfam family "Bacterial small subunit ribosomal RNA", at positions 30 to 507 of the family's 1533-position model. The record is from RNAcentral.